Molecule: ribosomal RNA, 424 nt
Filed under: uncultured bacterium
Lineage: Bacteria
Description: bacterial SSU rRNA
Rfam family: Bacterial small subunit ribosomal RNA
Source: RNAcentral
UAGGGAAUAUUGGUCAAUGGGGGCAACCCUGAACCAGCCAUGCCGCGUGCAGGAUGACUGCCCUAUGGGUUGUAAACUGCUUUUGUACGGGAAGAAACGUCUCUACGUGUAGGGAUUUGACGGUACCGUAAGAAUAAGGAUCGGCUAACUUCGUGCCAGCAGCCGCGGUAAUACGAAGGAUCCAAGCGUUGUCCGGAUUUACUGGGUUUAAAGGGUGCGUAGGCGGAAAAUUAAGUCAGUGGUGAAAGCCUAGAGCUCAACUCUAGAACUGCCAUUGAAACUGAUUUUCUCGAGUAUUGUUGAGGUUACUGGAAUGUUGCAUGUAGCGGUGAAAUGCUUAGAUAUGCAACAGAACACCAAUUGCGAAGGCAGGUAACUAAGCGAUAACUGACGCUGAGGCACGAAAGCGUGGGGAGCAAACAGG